GAAUCUUGCGCAAUGGGCGAAAGCCUGACGCAGCCAUGCCGCGUGAAUGAUGAAGGUCUUAGGAUUGUAAAAUUCUUUCACCGGGGACGAUAAUGACGGUACACGGGGAAGUAGCCCCGGCUCACUUCGCGACAGCAGCCGCGGUAAUACGACGGGGGCUAGUGUCUCUCGGAAUUACUGGGCGUAAGGGGCGCGUAGGCGGAUCGUUAAGUCAGAGGUGAAAUCCCAGGGCUCAACCCUGGAACUGCCUUUGAUACUGGCGAUCUUGAGUAUGAGAGAGGUAUGUGGAACUCCGAGUGUAGAGGUGAAAUUCGUAGAUAUUCGGAAGAACACCAGUGGCGAAGGCGACAUACUGGCUCAUUACUGACGCUGAGGCGCGAAAGCGUGGGGAGCAAACA
Molecule: ribosomal RNA, 398 nt
Filed under: uncultured bacterium
Lineage: Bacteria
Description: partial 16S ribosomal RNA
Rfam family: Bacterial small subunit ribosomal RNA
Source: RNAcentral